Molecule: long non-coding RNA, 5248 nt
Organism: Pezoporus occidentalis (night parrot)
Lineage: Eukaryota; Metazoa; Chordata; Aves; Psittaciformes; Psittacidae
Exons: 6
Source: RefSeq, a predicted model, not a curated record
UUGUGGAGCCUGUUGCUUGGAAGAGUGGUAUGGUGGUGUGUUGUUCUUUGUUUAUUUUUUACAGUACCUGGAUUGGUUAUGAAAUGUCACACCGUGGUUCUCUUAGGAAAGCUUUGUUGUGGGUUGGAAUUUUAUAUAAAAGUAUUUAUUUCUUUUCUUCCCUCUCUGCCCCCGCCUGAAAAUCCAAAUUAUUACUGUCAGCCAGCAGGAGGGUAGACCUACUGCUCAUGUAAAUUGCUCUAUUUCUGUUGUUUGCCCUUGUUCUCUCAAGUUUGCAAAUGAUACUGGUGUAACCAACAUAAGGAUCUGGCCUCUAGCAUGUGUUUGUCCCAUCUGCUGUCCAGCAUGUUAAUUUUCAUGGAAGACACAAACUUGCACGGACGGUGAUUUUAAGGAGGGGCCCUUUUGCUUUUCAAGAGCCAACUGUGAAGCCUCAGGGGCCCAGUUCUGAAAGGCAGUCAAUGCCAAGAUCAGGAGGCGUUGGGAACUUGGGUCCUGGCAAUUUCUGGCUUCUGGUCCAAUACAGACAAGACCAUAGGGAAGGAAGCAUGUGUUAGACAUUUGUGUAAAAGUAGCAAUGAUGUUAAAGAUUUUUGGGUAGAAACGUCCUUGGGGGGAAGGACCAGGCUUGCAAAAAGGACUCAGUUGAAAUAAGCCUUGAAAAAUCCUCAGAGGGGUUAGAAAUGGUGGCCCAGGGAGUAUAUUUCCACUGCAGUUGUCAACCAAAAUAAAAAUAAUGAUUUAUUUAAAAAAAAAAAGCAACAAGUGGGAGGUAUCUGUUGCUUUCGCUGAUCCCCUUUAUCUUUCCUAGUUCGAUAGGAACAGAAGUAUGCCAGGUAAUGGUUUAAGUGAUUCUUUUUCCCACUACUGAAUGCUGCAGAUAUUUACAAUUAUUAAUAGCCAGGCUUCUUAACAUGCCUGGAGGUCUUGAAAGUCCUGUGUUUUCAGUGCAAGACUGGAAAAUCCUGAGAUUUUCUAAAUGCUCAGACAUGAUCUUAAAAAGAAAAAAGGAAAAAAGAAAAAAAAAGCCAAACCAAAAAUCAUAAAAGUAUUUGGAAAGCGUCCUUUAGUUGGAUUCUAUUUCAACUAUUGUUUACUCUUGUUAAUGUUUGUUAGGAUACAUUUCUUGAAUGUUACUGCUCUCAUGCAAGUGGCUCAUUGUACAUUUAGAUGGUAGUGUUAGUAACUCUUCAGUUUUUCUUGCAUGUUUCAUGAAAACUACUGAGUUUCUGAAACUCCUUGCUCCUUCGAAUCAGCUAUGAAACAGAGGUGACUUGUCCCUGAUCACAUGCAAAGCUGAAGGCAGAGCUGGGAAUGGGGCUCAGAUGUCCAGCAUGGUAAGAUCAUUCUUUCCAUUUCUGUCAAGACUGGUCAAUUAUGCUAAAGCAACACUGGCUGAACAUUUGCAUGGAAGCAAACAGAUGUAUACCUGAGCCUUUAGGAGCAUCAUAGCUCUGUAACCAGGAAUCCUCUGGCAAUUUGAGGCACUGUCUAAGGGAACUGUUCUGCCUAGUAUCCUGUACUUCUCUAAGCUCCCCCUUUCUUGAUCUCCUAGGAUUAGGAUCUGCAGUUGCUCUCCACAGAUGUAUCAACCCUUCUAUGUAAGAUGGAGGAGAACAAGUUAACUUAAGCCAGGACAGGAGAUUAGGGGUGAUAGAAGUUUCGUUUGUAGCCUGGAGAAUUGGUGUCCUUGCAUCAUGGACUUGUCCUUAAUUCUCCACCAGGGAAGACUGUCAGGUUUGAGCUGACUGAUGCUGCUUGUGGAAUUCUCUCCCUGCCCCAGAGACAAGAGUAGGGGGUGGGAGUUAGGGGGCAAUUAAUUUCAUGUGGGAGGAAUAGGUGAGGGAUGGGAGCUUGCAAGGUCUCUCUGUCUUUGGUGGUAAGGAGGAGAAGGCUAUGCACAGUGGUUCAGCUGUCUUCUACCAGCCAGCCAGAUUCAGGAGGCCUUCCCAGUCAGAGCAGAAAGCUCAGCUUUGCUGCUGUCAGCACUGCUGAGAGCAGGAUCUGGGGAUGGGUGAAUCCAAAUAUCCAGAUCGCAUGGAUAUUGGCUGGAAACGUUCCACCAUAUCCGGGUGGCUGCCUUUGCGUGAUAUUCAUGCUUGUCAGAAAAUUAAUUAUUCCAUUCACCAGUCUCUCUGAGCAGGGAGGAUUACCUCUCAAUACCUGGAGCUCCUCCUGGGGGUGGUGUGUGUUUGUAAGCACGUCUGUCUGCAUGCCUGCUUACUGAAAGGGGGUGUGUGUGGCGGACGUAGAUAUGUACAGACAGCAAGAGAUGGUAUAUUACUGUAGGCACAGAGAAGGAGUGACAUGAAUGAUGCAGAAAUAAGAAAGAUGCCUUGCUCUGUGUGUCUGUGACAGAGGGUGUCCUUGGGGAUACUUUCUGCAUACCAGAGAGAGGGGUAUUUUCCUCCAGGUAAGGUUAGCUGUGUGCGGGAGCAGAGGGUGCAGGGCUUGGGUAAGUGGCCAUGAAUUCCUUGUCUUUGCCCUUAUGUAUGUAAGAAAUGCACACAUGGCCUAGGCUGUGUCCCCAUGCUUUUUAGAUCUGCCUUCAGAAAGAUUGAUGUGUUUGAUGCAAGCCUUAAUCUGCCCAUGAUUUCCUGUGUACUUGUGCUGAGAACAGCGAAAGAAGUUCAUGUGUACACACUGAUUAUUGAAACACUGCAUAUGUGUUGAAAAAUCUCGGGUCAGCUGACAUUGCAAUAGUACCUGUCAUUUUGAUUUUGAUGCAUUUGAUUUUGACUAUGGGCCUCCUAAACAUAGCUCCAGGUCUUGUCUUCUUGCUUUUCCAUUUGAUCAGCCCCAUGUACUUCAGGGGGUAACUUACACCUGCAAGUGAGCAGAAUCAGGUCUGGUGAUAUUUAAAAGUAAAACCAUUUCACUGGAGUCUGAAAGCUUUCCUGGGAUGCUCUAACUCACAGGAGUUCUUAUCCCAUAUGGGGCAGCAUGGUCUGUACAUGUUCUGGGGUUGGAGUUUUCCAACUGCAGCAUCAAGGAGUGAUCUUCCCUAGAAAGCAAAGCUACUUAAUUGUGGCUUGACUCUGAGAGCACCCUGAUUGGCUCUGCUAGGCAGCACAGCGCUGAGUUUCAGGCUUGGGGUAUUCUUGGAAAUUUGUAUUAUUAAUUGAGAGCUUAUUAAUGGCAAACACAGGAUGACAUUUUACAUGGUUUAGUUAUGUUCUGAGCCACUGGUACAAUGCAGCCUCAGCCACAAGGCAAGGAAGCUCCUGCCGUAACUGAUAAGAGAAGGAAUAAUAGCUCAGUUCCCACUAACUGAUCUUGCGGUGACAGGAACGGCCCUUGCAAAUGUCUGAUCAACUUCAAUCUGGUGGUUGCUCAUCCUGGGGUUAAGGAAAUCUCAGAGGAAAACAGACUUACUCACUGAGGUAAUAACCAUUCUGGUUUAUUAGCAGUGGGCUAGGAGAGGCACUCCUGUAAGCCACAGCCAAGCAUCUGCAGCCUCUUUUGUCUGGGAGGAAACACAGGCUGUACAAAGCCCCUGAAUAUCUCCAGCAAUCCUCCUAGUCCCCUCUUAUCUGCUGCUACGUGUGCAUCCAUCCCAUCCUGUCUGCCAGAACUCCCUGGGUCUUUCCCAGGCACAUUGAGGGUAUUUGACUUUAGUGUUGUCACAGGUGGCAUUUGCUUGUGUUGCUGAGGCUCCUCAAGGAGGCACUCAUUCUGCAUAAGCUCUGCUUUGGUUCUCAGAAAGAGGGACAAAGUUUGGAGACUUCCUGCCAAAGCUUGGCCUUAGGUUGGGAAAGCCACCCUGUGUGACAGAAGUAAAGGAGAUGAUGGUGGGAAGCCACUCCCCAUCUGGGUUUGUAGAAAUAGCAGUGCAUAUCCCCCUUCACAAGACAAAGCUCACAUGUGGGUGCCAAAUAGACUGUUCCUUGUCUGAGACUUAUGGAGCUAAGCAUCUGCACAGACUGAUGAGAACUUCCCUUGAGGACCUCCACAGAUCUGUUAGAUCUAUAGAUCUGUGGGACACAGGUAGUCUGUCACCCAUAAUACUCAGUCCUGCAGUCCCACUCUGCAGGUAUUAGCUUCAUCAAUGGCUGAGGAUGGGUACAAAGUCUUUACUGCAACUGCUGAGAGCUGUAUAAGGGAACACAGACAGCAGAGCUCCUCUGCAUUCCCUUGUCCAGCAGCAGAAUUAUUUCUACAAAGGCACUGCAGGCUCUGGGAGGAGAUUAUAGGCCAAGCACUUAAACUCUUCCUCCCUGGAUUAGCAAGAGCCCCACAGCUGUGGAUUGUCUGAUGCCAGCAAAUAAACCAGAUGGAUGACAUGGAUGGAGGUAGGCCAAGCUGGGAUGGAAACCACAGUGUGCCCUCCUGUCUUAAUGGGCUUCUGGAAGAUGAAGUAGCACAAGCUGGAAAAAGCCUUCAGCUGCAAAGCUCUCUAUAUUGAGGACAUCAUUUUAUGGAUGGGCUGUGAGAAAACUACAAGUGCCUCACUUCACCACUUGUCCAGGAUCCCCAGAAUCUGUCUUCCUUCAAAACCCAAGCCCAGUGCACUGUUAGUGAUGAAACUCUGCAGCGGAAUGCUUUGAUGAGGCUGUGAUCUUGGAAGGAUACAGAAAGAGAUGGGCUGUUUCAGGCAGAUCACAAGGAAAUCCUGGUUUAUAAAGGUCAGACGGUUGCUGUGUGCCAUGGAGUGACCUCAGCUCAUCUAUAUUUUAAAAUCCUUGUUGGCCAUGGUCAGGUGUCUCCUUAGCCUCACUUCAACCCAGAUUGAUUUGGUCUGAGCCCAGGACUUCUGACUGUGGCUGAAAGGCAAAAGGCAAGCCCCUGCUGUUCCUCUAGGCUUCAAGCAGGAUGAAGUGCAGAAGAAGAAAUAUAAUGAUGGCAAGUAGGCUGUGGGAAUGACGCCGUUUAUUGAUACUCCAGGUAUGAAAGAACCCACUAAUGAGCAAUUUAUAAAAGACACUUUUGAGCCAUUUUGAAGGAAAUCACUGACUGCUGUGAGCAGGAAAGUGCAGACAGCUUCAUGCAAGGAUGAGCUGCUGCCUUUGCAUUUGUUAGCUAUGCAAGAAACACAAGCAGCUCUUUCCACAUCCACACCCUCCUCUGUGGAUGUCUGGCAGCAGGUAUUUACCCUCUGCAGAAUCCUGCCAGUCACCCACAUCAUGUGGGCAGAGCUAAGGUUGCACAGAGGUCUAAGCUAGCUGGCAUCCCUGUCUUCUACAGCUGGGCAGCAAUGAGGUAUCUUUCUUUGUACGAGCGGAACAUCUCUAGUAGGCAUGUGGAUCUC